Molecule: ribosomal RNA, 489 nt
Filed under: uncultured bacterium
Lineage: Bacteria
Description: bacterial SSU rRNA
Rfam family: Bacterial small subunit ribosomal RNA
Source: RNAcentral
GACGAACGUUGGCGGCGUGCCUUACACAUGCAAGUCGUACGCGAAAGGGGAAACCAGCUUGCUGGGGACCCCGAGUAGAGUGGCGAACGGGAGCGUAACACGUGAGGAACCUGCCUCGGAGUGGGGAAUAACCCAGAGAAAUCUGGGCUAAUUCCGCAUGAUGCAGCGGCCCCGCAUGGGGACAGUUGUUAAAGACCGCCUCUGCUUGCAAGCGGUCGCUUCGAGAUGGUCUCGCGGCCUAUCAGCUAGUUGGCGGGGUAAUGGCCCACCAAGGCGACGACGGGUAGCCGGCCUGAGAGGGUGUCCGGCCUCAUUGGGACUGAGACACGGCCCAGACUCCUACGGGAGGCAGCAGUGAGGAAUCUUGCGCAAUGGGCGAAAGCCUGACGCAGCGACGCCGCGUGAGGGAUGAAGGCCUCGGUUGUAAACCUCUGUCAGGGGGCAAGAAUCCGGAGCCGGUGAAUACCCGGCUCCAUUGACGGUACCCCC